UCUUUGUGCAUGGAAAGUUUACAUGAGAAACUCUUUCUCAUGUAGAAUAAGUGGCGCACAAGAUAAGGUGUGGCGCAUGGAGUUGGUUGCCCAUUCAAAUUCAAACAUCCUUUGAAUUUGAAUGGCCAACUAACCUAUCUUUAUCCAGAUAAAUGGUGCACAAGGGAGCGCGUGGGAAGGCUUCUACGUGGGAGAAAAUUCAUGAGAAGUUGUUUCUCGUGAAUUCAAAUGGGCGCAGAUA
This 241-nucleotide long non-coding RNA is filed under the name Elaeis guineensis (African oil palm). Its description in RNAcentral is "long non-coding RNA (EGUI_LNC042974)". The record is from RNAcentral. Lineage: Eukaryota; Viridiplantae; Streptophyta; Magnoliopsida; Arecales; Arecaceae.